CUGAGUGGCCAGGGAUCCCCCCUAAUGUGCAAGAUCUCAUCUGAUCUCAGAAGCUAAGCAGGGUCGGGCCUGGUUAGUACCUGGAUGGGGGACUGCGUGGGAAUACCAGGUGCUGUAGGGU
Molecule: ribosomal RNA, 121 nt
Organism: Cercocebus atys (sooty mangabey)
Lineage: Eukaryota; Metazoa; Chordata; Mammalia; Primates; Cercopithecidae
Source: Ensembl